UAGGGAAUCUUCGGCAAUGGACGAAAGUCUGACCGAGCAACGCCGCGUGAGUGAAGAAGGUUUUCGGAUCGUAAAACUCCGUUGUUAGAGAAGAACAAGGACGUUAGUAACUGAACGUCCCCUGACGGUAUCUAACCAGAAAGCCACGGCUAACUACGUGCCAGCAGCCGCGGUAAUACGUAGGUGGCAAGCGUUGUCCGGAUUUAUUGGGCGUAAAGCGAGCGCAGGCGGUUUCUUAAGUCUGAUGUGAAAGCCCCCGGCUCAACCGGGGAGGGUCAUUGGAAACUGGGAGGCUUGAGUGCAGAAGAGGAGAGUGGAAUUCCAUGGGUAGCGGUGAAAUGCGUAGAUAUAUGGAGGAACACCAGUGGCGAAGGCGGCUCUCUGGUCUGUAACUGACGCUGAGGAUAGAAAGCGUGGGGAGCAAACAGG
This 429-nucleotide ribosomal RNA is filed under the name Gemmatimonadota bacterium. RNAcentral describes it as "Gemmatimonadetes bacterium partial 16S ribosomal RNA". It matches the Rfam family "Bacterial small subunit ribosomal RNA", at positions 355 to 776 of the family's 1533-position model. Lineage: Bacteria; Pseudomonadati; Gemmatimonadota. The record is from RNAcentral.